UGGUGGAGUGAUUUGUCUGGUUCAUUCCGCUAACGAACGAGACCUUAACCUGCUAAAUAGUUGCAUGUAACCUCUGUUACAUGGGCAUCUUCUUAGAGGGACUUUGUGUGUCUGCCACAAGGAAGUUUGAACAAUAACA
Molecule: ribosomal RNA, 139 nt
Filed under: uncultured eukaryote
Lineage: Eukaryota
Description: partial 18S ribosomal RNA
Rfam family: Eukaryotic small subunit ribosomal RNA
Source: RNAcentral